This is a non-coding RNA of Pelobates cultripes (western spadefoot toad), 288 nucleotides long. The record is from the annotation of a GenBank genome assembly. NCBI's taxonomy places the organism in Eukaryota, Metazoa, Chordata, Amphibia, Anura, Pelobatidae.
CUCCUCUCCAUGGCUGGGAUCUUCCAUGUUCUCUUCCUGGCUUGUAUGAUCUUGAAUCUCAAAAGGAAGAGUAGUCAGGGUAUCUUUUGUACCUAAAGGAUCCUCUAGGUUUACGAUCUUGUGGUAGAAAUGCUCUCUUGAUACAAUCAUCCAAGUUUUUCCCAAAUAACAUGUCUCCGUGGAAUGGUAAGGCACACAAACUGGCUUUGGAAGAAUUGUCCGCUGCCCAUGAUCUUAACCAUAAGGUCCUUCUGGCUGAAAUGGAGAGAGCCAUAUUUCUGGCUAAAG